UACGUAGGGUGCAAGCGUUGUCCGGAAUUAUUGGGCGUAAAGAGCUCGUAGGCGGUCUGUCGCGUCUGCUGUGAAAACCUAGGGCUUAACCCUGGGCCUGCAGUGGGUACGGGCAGACUAGAGUGCGGUAGGGGAGACUGGAAUUCCUGGUGUAGCGGUGAAAUGCGCAGAUAUCAGGAGGAACACCGGUGGCGAAGGCGGGUCUCUGGGCCGUAACUGACGCUGAGGAGCGAAAGCGUGGGGAGCGAACAGG
This 253-nucleotide ribosomal RNA is filed under the name uncultured bacterium. RNAcentral's name for it is "partial 16S ribosomal RNA". It matches the Rfam family "Bacterial small subunit ribosomal RNA", at positions 524 to 776 of the family's 1533-position model. The record is from RNAcentral.